Molecule: ribosomal RNA, 446 nt
Filed under: uncultured soil bacterium
Lineage: Bacteria
Description: bacterial SSU rRNA
Rfam family: Bacterial small subunit ribosomal RNA
Source: RNAcentral
GCACAAGCGGUGGAGCAUGUGGUUUAAUUCGAGGCUACACGAAGAACCUUACCUAGGUUUGACAUCUUGCUGAAUACUGUGUGGAAGCAUGGUAGUCCCGCAAGGGACAGUAGGACAGGUGCUGCAUGGCUGUCGUCAGCUCGUGCCGUGAGGUGUUCGGUUAAGUCCGCAAACGAGCGCAACCCUCGGUGCCAGUUACAAGUGUCUGGCGCGACUGCCCGUGGCAAACGGGAGGAAGGUGGGGAUGACGUCAAGUCAGCAUGGCCUUUAUAUCUAGGGCUACACACACGCUACAAUGGCGCGUACAAUGGGUCGCGAACCCGCGAGGGGGAGCCAAUCCUAAAAAGCGCGUCUCAGUUCAGAUUGGAGUCUGCAACUCGACUCCAUGAAGCUGGAGUUGCUAGUAAUCGCGGAUCAGCAAUGCCGCGGUGAAUACGUUCCCGGGC